This 447-nucleotide ribosomal RNA is filed under the name uncultured bacterium. RNAcentral's name for it is "partial 16S ribosomal RNA". It matches the Rfam family "Bacterial small subunit ribosomal RNA", at positions 330 to 792 of the family's 1533-position model. The record is from RNAcentral.
GCCAGACUCCUACGGGAGGCAGCAGUGGGGAAUAUUGCACAAUGGGGGGAACCCUGAUGCAGCGACGCCGCGUGGGCGAGGAAGUAUUUCGGUAUGUAAAGCCCUAUCGGCAGGGAAGGAGAAAUGACGGUACCUGAAUAAGAAGCACCGGCUAAAUACGUGCCAGCAGCCGCGGUAAUGCGUAUGGAGCAAGCGUUAUCCGGAUUUACUGGGUGUAAAGGGAGCGCAGGCGGCCUUGCAAGUCUGAUGUGAAAGGCCGGGGCCCAACCCCGGGACUGCAUUGGAAACUGCGAGGCUGGAGUGUCGGAGAGGCAGGCGGAAUUCCUAGUGUAGCGGUGAAAUGCGUAGAUAUUAGGAGGAACACCAGUGGCGAAGGCGGCCUGCUGGACGAUGACUGACGUUGAGGCUCGAGAGCGUGGGGAGCAAACAGGAUUAGAUACCCCUGUA